GAUUUAGGGCCGGGCGAUUCCGCUGGCGGCCGCCAAGGUGCCAAUUACUGCUCGGCCGGGCCUGGAUUUCAAAAAUUCCUGCUCUUCCCCUGGAAGUUCCGGCGUCGCUCCUCCGAGGGAAGACACAACUCCCACCUUGGAGAGAAAACCGGGAUCCUGGGACGGGCUGUGCGGAGAAACCGAGCCCAGGGUGGUCCCGGGAGCCCCGUCAUCCCAGGAGGCUGGGCUCUAGAAAGGCCGGUAGCCUCCAUCCUCUCCCAGGCCCGGGCCCUCAGCGGUUCAACUUAGAGGCCCCCUCUCACCUGGUAACCCACCCUCACCUUCUGCGUCAUAAAGGAAACAUUGAGACCACCGGAUGUGAACUCUCAACUUCCUGCCCACCGCCCACAGAAGUAUCCAGCCUGUGCCUCCUUCCUCCUGCUUUCUGAAGCUGGUUCCUCGCCGGGCCGGGAGCCCUUUCCUCUCCGGUCUCUUAGAGAACCUAGACUUGGCUCCUCUCUCCAGUAUUUUUUUCUUUAAAAAUGAGUUUAUAUUUACAGAAAAUUUCAGCCUAAUACAGAGUUCUCAUAUGCUUUGCACUCAGUUUCCUUAAUUAUUAACCUCUUACAUAGCACAUUUGUUACAAUUAAUGAACCAAUAUCGAUACAUUAUUAUUAUUAACUCCAUAUUACUAAUAGCUGCAUAUUAACUGCAUUGUGUGUGUGUGUGUGUGUGUGUGUGUGUGUGUGUGUGUGUGAGUUGCUCAGUCGUGUCCGACUCUUUGUGACCCAUGGACUGUAGUCCACCAGGCUCCUCUCUCUAUGGAAUUCUCUAGGCAAGAAUACUGGAGUGGGUAGCCAUUCCCUUUUCCAGAGACCUUCCCAACCCAGAGAUCAAACCCCGGUCUCCUGCACUGCAGGCAGAUUCUUUACCGUCUGAGCCACCAACUCAUCGAGUUGGACACCUUAAAUAUUUGCAAUUUUUAUUUAAAAUAUGUAAAGAAAAAAGGCAUCACCAUAAAAGAAAGUAAAAUAAACAAAAUGCUAUCAACAUACCCUUUCUCUCACUUGAAGAUACAAAAUAGUGAAAAUAGUUGCUGGAAUCCCCAAGCAUUACAAACUUUUGCUCCGGUUCCUGCUUCUGGUGAAUUCAUAGC
This is a long non-coding RNA of Bos taurus (domestic cattle), 1135 nucleotides long. The record is from Ensembl. Lineage: Eukaryota; Metazoa; Chordata; Mammalia; Artiodactyla; Bovidae.